Molecule: long non-coding RNA, 693 nt
Organism: Olea europaea var. sylvestris
Lineage: Eukaryota; Viridiplantae; Streptophyta; Magnoliopsida; Lamiales; Oleaceae
Exons: 2
Source: RefSeq, a predicted model, not a curated record
UUCAACGAUUUCACAGAAUUCCCAAAAUCAAUUUCGACUCCAUAUUCCUAAAAAUCACCCAUAACUCACUCCAAAUAUAUUGAUUUUGAAAGAAGAACGAUAGGAACCCCAACUCCAAAGUAGGGAAGAAAUUCAAUUAGUUGGUACAAGCUACCUUCGUCAGCUGCGGUAUAGUGCCGAGCUACGUUAAAUUUGUUAGUUUUGUAGCCAAACACACUCGCAAGGAAGUGUAAUAAAGUAAGAAGCCUGACGAUGCAUUUGGGCUCCCUCAGCAACCGAGCACUACUAGUGUGAUUCACUCAAUGGUGUCAGCUAAAUAUUAUGCUAUAAUAUGAAAGUGGACGACUUGGAAUAUCCGUGGAGGAGUUGUUGUUGUAGUGUUCAUCGGAUGACGUGGAAGUUAACUUUGAAGAAAUGGUUGACGAAUUCCAACAAAUGGAUGAGGCUGAAUUCUGGAAGCUAAGAGCGGCAAGGGCACGAAAAAGAAGAGCUGUGAAGACGACAAAAUCUGCAUCCGUUCUGUGUAAAGACAUUGAUACUAAUCUGUAGUGCAGUGCAAUGUAAAACUUUUAAUUUUGGUUGUAACUAUUGGUUAAAAUACAUCGGUUUUUAUUUUUGUGAUGUAAAGGAAAGACAAUGUAUGUGCUUGUGUUGGUUUAAACUUUCAAUGGACGAUUUUUUAUUUUUUGUGCA